UUUAUAGGCGAAGGAGCUAUGGCAGGGGAGGCCCAGGGAGCCCACAAGCCUCUGAGGCGUGCCCCCAGGCCGCGCCAUGAGAGGUUGUGGCCUCCCCCGGGACUCCCUGCCUUGGUUCCCAAGCUUUCUGUGUAUCUUAUGUUCCGGAAAAAAAAUCUUUUCAGAAGUUUUAUUCCAUUUGGACUCCGUUCAAAAUCCACCUAUGAAAAGUGUCAAAAACACGGAAAAAAUAAGAACUGGCACUUGGCACUGAGUUAAUAAGUUAGUCCCAGAAAAGAUAUAAAAGGCAUACAAAACAUCCAAAGUUUGACAAGACCAAGCUUAACUCCUGCUCGUCCUCGGGUAGGGAAGUGAUAAAGACUGAAUUUUUGAUGUGGAAUGCUACCUAUCAUAGUUUUCCUUUGCAACUUCUUUCAUGUGACAUGAAUGUUCAGAUCCGUAAGAUUCAAAACAAUAGUUUGCUAUUGACAUGAAAACAAUAAUACUU
This 487-nucleotide long non-coding RNA is filed under the name Hordeum vulgare. RNAcentral's name for it is "long non-coding RNA (HVUL_LNC019190)". The record is from RNAcentral. Lineage: Eukaryota; Viridiplantae; Streptophyta; Magnoliopsida; Poales; Poaceae.